ACCUUCCGCUCGCUCAUGGCUCAGAGGUGGGGUGGACAACAAAAUUGACUUUUAAUGAACAUACAUCAAUAUGCGAAAAGUAGUAUUGGAGAGAGUAUAAGAUGUACCACAAUUCAGAUAUCCUGUGGCCAACACAGCCAGAACUUAAUCAGAUCACUGGAAUUUACUGCAAGUACCUGAAAGAGAGUGGUUACUGAACCUAACAGCAAGAAACUUGUGUACAGAAGCAAAGCAAAGGCAAUUAGCCCAGUUGUGACCAUUUUGUAACUUAGCAUACCGUGGUGGCCUUGAUCAGCGUAAAAGAGAGAAAUCAAUCAGUUAAGAAUGAGGAAAAAUUGAAAUGGUGUUUAGAGUUUAAAGAGAGAGGAGAUAAUGAGAAACUGUCAUCCAAAAAAAAGUUUGGGCCUGGAGUUUCCAAUUCAGAACAUUUUUGUAAAUUAAAAAAAAAUGUCAUGCUUUCAUUAAGAGGAGACGAAAAGAAACAGAUAACCUAGAGUAUUUGCUGU
Molecule: long non-coding RNA, 506 nt
Organism: Heterocephalus glaber (naked mole-rat)
Lineage: Eukaryota; Metazoa; Chordata; Mammalia; Rodentia; Bathyergidae
Source: RefSeq, a predicted model, not a curated record